Bactrocera latifrons is the source of this 833-nucleotide long non-coding RNA. RefSeq lists it as uncharacterized. The record is from RefSeq and is a predicted model, not a curated record. The transcript has 2 exons. NCBI's taxonomy places the organism in Eukaryota, Metazoa, Arthropoda, Insecta, Diptera, Tephritidae.
CUUAGUGGUUCGGUGUUGUAGGACGUGCGUGGCCACUGUGAGCUUCGGUUCUAGAAGACUAAGUGGAUUUUGUUUGACAAAAUGUAAUCUUUCUGCAUUUGUGAAAUUCCAGCGAUCUACAUUUUUACCAAGCACAAGGCGCGACACUUCUGCAAAUCCUGCAUGGUUCAAAUAAAUCUGCCAACAUCGCACAGCAGCCAGAGUUAAACUCAAAAACAAAAAAAAAAAAAAAAAACAAAAAAAAUUAUCCUCAAAAUUUUAAUUGCUACAAAGUCGAAAUAACAGUUAAGCGCAUGUUAUUUCUUGUUUUUUGAACUUCGGUCCUCAUGACGUUUUAAAUACCUUUUAUUUAUUCUUCCUCUCAAAAAGUAUUUAAAUUUGUCUAAAGCAUCGAGAGUUUGCGCUUACAAACAAUCUAUGAAAGUUAAAAAACUGCUGACAAUCCUCGAAAUUCUUUACUGCCACGAAGUGUGUGCAUGAUUCUGAUUUAUUUUGCCAACAUUUUACAUUUACUGAAUCUUCUCAAUUACAAAAUAUUUUUCUCUGCAUCUUGCUUUCGAGCACGUUUCGGAUGAUUUAUCGAUAAUUUCUGCGUUAAUUGGCGACAAUUAAUAUAUCCUUGCCGAAGAACGAAACAACCAUUUAGCAAAAAUUGGGCUUCCAGUUCAACUGCCAAUGGUUUAAGUACUUACGGAUGAAUUGCCGGUAAUUGAUGAAAACUACAUCAAUAAAUUGUAUAGUUCAUUAACAACUCCUUAGUUAACGUUUAUAUUCCUACACAUUUUAAAAGUUUUAUAAGCAAACUACUUGAAAAACUCAGAAAAUACAAAAAG